AAUCCCGCGCGGCUCAGAGAUGGGUUUCUGGACUCGCGAAGCAGCUGCAACAAGGCAUCACUCACUGUAUAAGUAUUUCCAUUUCUGAGAGCAAAAGGAAGAACUUAAGCGGGCGGCACUUGGAGUGUAAAUUGCUUUGUAGUAUUUAAAGGCAGAAUGGAUCCUGGGCAGCCGAGCUGAUCAUGAGGUUCCUGAGGCCUCCUAGCCAUGCUUCCUGUGCAGCCUAUGGAACUGAUCACUGUUGUAUUUUUAAACCUUAUUCCUGGAAGCACUACGGAUAUCAGAUCAAUUUAGAAAGCCAAAGAGUACCUCUGGGAAUGAAAUGGUAGUAAUAGAAACAAUAUUUGGCCAAACUAUCGCUGUAUGCCAAUGAUGCCAAAAAUCACAGUAACCUGGCAGCAACAAACCGGCAGGACUUCCUGUGAAAUCAUGACCACCAUGUGCUCUUUCAGCCUCUAUCAGUUCCUACCUCUAAGCACCUGAGAGCCAAAGCAAACCACAGGAAACCACAGACUCAAACUAAACGUCAGCUUUUCCCGGCUCUCAAGCCUGCUGGUCCCUGAACUAAAACUCACAUUAUCAACUCUACUGGUUCUUAGGCCUUUGGAGUCAGACUGGAACUACAGCAUUGACUCUUCCGGAACUCCAGCUUACUGACUACAGAUCUUGGAACUUUUCAGCUUCCACAACCAUAAUGAAAGCCAAGCAUAUUCCAUCAUUUCCUAAAACCAAGAUAGAGCACAUAUGGGAACUUGUGAAAUAAGGUGAGGAUGGGGAGGUGUCAAACAAGACCUAACCUCUCAACAAUCAGCUGGACACUGUUGUGUAAGAAUGUGAAGCUUGGCACUGCUGCAGCCAUCUUGUUCCAGGAAGGGUAAAACCUGAGGUUAGAAGCCAACAUCCUAAUGAUGGCAGAGAAGACAAAGAGAACCAGAGUCUAAAUGACAUUGUUGAGUUAGAUCACUACACUACCUCUAGUCUUCUUUUUAUGUGUGAUAAUAAAUCUCACUUAUAC
RNAcentral lists this long non-coding RNA (1015 nucleotides) under Homo sapiens (human). RNAcentral describes it as "long intergenic non-protein coding RNA 1322". The record is from RNAcentral. Lineage: Eukaryota; Metazoa; Chordata; Mammalia; Primates; Hominidae.